Molecule: ribosomal RNA, 492 nt
Filed under: uncultured bacterium
Lineage: Bacteria
Description: partial 16S ribosomal RNA
Rfam family: Bacterial small subunit ribosomal RNA
Source: RNAcentral
AGUGAACGCUGGCGGUAGGCCUAACACAUGCAAGUCGAACGGCAGCACAGUAAGAGCUUGCUCUUACGGGUGGCGAGUGGCGGACGGGUGAGGAAUACAUCGGAAUCUACUUUUUCGUGGGGGAUAACGUAGGGAAACUUACGCUAAUACCGCAUACGACCUACGGGUGAAAGCAGGGGAUCUUCGGACCUUGCGCGAUUGAAUGAGCCGAUGUCGGAUUAGCUAGUUGGCGGGGUAAAGGCCCACCAAGGCGACGAUCCGUAGCUGGUCUGAGAGGAUGAUCAGCCACACUGGAACUGAGACACGGUCCAGACUCCUACGGGAGGCAGCAGUGGGGAAUAUUGGACAAUGGGCGCAAGCCUGAUCCAGCCAUACCGCGUGGGUGAAGAAGGCCUUCGGGUUGUAAAGCCCUUUUGUUGGGAAAGAAAAGCAGCAGGUUAAUACCCCGCUGUUCUGACGGUACCCAAAGAAUAAGCACCGGCUAAGUUCGUG